This 210-nucleotide unclassified non-coding RNA is filed under the name Glomeraceae sp. Its description in RNAcentral is "partial contains 5.8S ribosomal RNA and internal transcribed spacer 2". The stretch from base 1 to 65 matches the Rfam family "5.8S ribosomal RNA", at positions 84 to 154 of the family's 154-position model. The record is from RNAcentral. Lineage: Eukaryota; Fungi; Glomeromycota; Glomeromycetes; Glomerales; Glomeraceae.
GUGAAUCAUCGAAUUUUUGAACGCAAAUUGCACUCUCUUCGGAGAGUAUGCCUGUUUGAGGGUCAGUAUCAAUAAAAUCGUUGUUGCUUUUUUGUGACGUUCUGGCGAUUGGGCUACCUUUAACUUUCGGGAUUAAGAGGCUUAAAAUUUAACUUUUUUGCGCUCUUUUAGACGUACAUAAAUUUAUUUUAUCGUUUAUUCUUGUGCCAU